Molecule: long non-coding RNA, 3529 nt
Filed under: Canis lupus familiaris (dog)
Lineage: Eukaryota; Metazoa; Chordata; Mammalia; Carnivora; Canidae
Description: lncRNA (ENSCAFG00000052249.1)
Source: RNAcentral
GUUUUGAUAGCACUCUGUUUUGUCAUAAAUCCAUCAAAUUCUAUUGGACUUUUCCAGUUCUUUACCAGUAAAUUAUGUUUCUGUAUGUAGGAUAACUAAUCCCUUAUUAUAGAGACAGUGUUACAUGUAUUUACAAAAUCAUGUAAGUUCCAUCGAGAUUGUAUUGACUUUUUUGUAUUUUUCCCAAAAUAGUACUUUGAAUUGAUAGUUCUUUAUGCAAUGUCUUAGCAAUAGUCACUAUAAUGCCCAUCCAGGAGAAGUGGGUAGUAAUUCUUCAUCAUGAAAAUGAUAUAUUACAUAUUUAGUAUCUUCCCUUUGCAGUAUUGCACUUUUGUUUAACUAGAAUACACCUAUGAGAUAGCCAAAGUUUUUCAAACACAGUUAACUUAGUUUGCAGGUGGGGUAUUUCAACACCAUCCAUAUUUCCCUCUCUCCCUCUAGUUCUACCCACAUAAUCUUUAUUCCUUUCUUUCCCCCAAUUAAAAAAAAAAAGGGAAAAAAAAGCCCUAGAUCUUGUCACUAAAAAUCUAAUUUAUAUCAAAUUUAUGAGAUAAAGUAUUUUCCUAAGUAUGAUCAAAUGAAUUUGGUUAACAUCUUAGUGAUUCUCUUUCUAUGUAAUAAGGCAAUUGCAGUUGUCAAAGCAUUAAGGCUAAUACUAACUUUAAACUUUCUCUUGGGUUUCAAGACACUUCUAUUUAGUAUUGAUUGGGGAAAAGUUGUCCAGCUGUCAGCUUAAAAAAAUGCAAAUAUGGUUGUGUAAAGUUAAGGGUUAUAAGGAAAAAAAAAAUCAGUAGAAUUACAUAAUACUAAAGUUGCAGUUGAAAGGAUAUCCAAGUAUGUGUUGGUAGUUACUAAAAGAAUUAUAGCUGUUAUUGCCUUGUAUUUAUAGCCCUUGUUUCAGGUUUCAUGAUUCAAGUCUUAGUCCAAUUUUUCUUUUGGACAUUUGCAAUAUUUACCAGUUGUGUUUUGUGUAGUCUGAAUUUGCUUUCUGUAGUUGAGCAAACGUCUUAAAAAGUCAUUUGUAAUUUAUUAAAUUACUUUCUAUGAUGUUCUAUAGAGCAAAUGGAAGUUUAAUUAUUUUUUAUUAAACAUAUUCUUUGACUACCCAUGAUGUCAGCCUCUGUACAUGACAAUACUCCUUUUUCUAACUGACUUUUGUCUGUAAUUUAUCUUAAUUCAUUUGUGAAAGCAACCAUAGUCCUAAAUCUCUAAAAGGAAAGUAUACCUCGGAAGAAUUUUUAAAAGACAGAAGUUGGCCAUAACUAUAUCCACAAUAUCAUUAUUUCCUUAAGUUUUCUUCUCCUGACCUUUAAAAUUGUCCAGAAAGAUGUACAUAACCUCAUAAAGGAGUAUGUUUUGGAUAUGUGAUUAUUUCUCCCCUUGGUCUCAAGAGUCUUUCCUAAUUCAUCACUAUUGUUUUCAGUGUUUUUGUAAACAUGAAAGAAAUUUAGUAUUACCCUAAUUAGAAAGGUAGAACAGUAGAGUCUCAUCAUGCACUCAUUUAACUUAGAACCCAUUCAACUAUACUUUCAUGCUUAGGAAAACUUUGUUUUUGUACAAUAUAGCAUGUAAACACAAGCCAAAUACUUUGUCUAGUGCUCACCCAGAGGAACAGUAAUCUAUCUGUACCAGUGCUAGAGGAAGAACUGGCUAUGUUAGAUGUUUUUGAAAGAAGAUACACUAUGUACAAAACAAUGUAUUCUGUAGUUUGUGAGCUAUAGGAGAGAGAGUGAUUUUUUGACUACAGGUAAAUGUUCAUCUUCUGCAACAAAUUUAGAACUUAGUCUCUCCAUAAAUACAACUCCAGCACAUAAGCUAUUUAUUUUAAAAUGCAGAAAAGCACAAAGAAAAAAUACUGAAAUCAUCAUAAACCCACACUGAGAUAAAUACUGUUCAUACAGACAUCCAGUGUUUUUAUAUGUGUGUUAUCUACAUGUAGUGGGUUGAAUCGUGUCGUACAAAAAUUUAUUCAACCCAAAACCUCAGUAUGUGACCUUAUUCGGAAAUAGGGUCCUAGCGUGUGUAAUUAGUUAUGAUGCCAUUAUACUAGUCGGGGUGGGCCCCAAGUCCAAUGACUGGUUCCUGAUAACAAGAGAGGACAAAGGGAAGAAAGUCAAGGGCCAGGCAGCAGAGAUUGGAGUAAUACAGAUGCAAGCCAAGGAACACCCCAGGAUUGUCAGCAAUGCCAGAAGCUAGGAGAGCAGCAGAUUCUCCUUCAGAGCCUCCAGAAGGAAGCAAGCUGGCCAACACCUUGAUUUUGGACUUCUGGCCUGAAUUGUGGGAGAAUAAAUUUCUGUUGUUCUCAGCCACUCUGUUUGUGAUAAUUUGUUAUGGUAGCUCUAGGAAACUUAGACAAUACAUCUUCAUGUAAAAUAUUAUUUGGGACAUAAUAUUUACUGUUCUGCCCUUAAUAUACUGACCUAUGUCAUAAGUACCCUGCGUUGUGAUGCUUAAUACAUAGUAUUGUCUCAUGUCUACGUAAGAUGUAACUUAUCUAUGUACUUAAAAAUGGACAUUUGAGUUUCUAUAUGCAUCUUUUGCAUUAAUCCCUAUGACUUCCUUAAUCCCUAGAAGUGAAAUUACUUCCUCUGUUUUUAAGGAUUUUGAUUUGUGUUGCCAAGUUUACAACGAUGCCAUUAGUAGCAAUUUAUACUACCACAGCAGCAUACAUUUUGUGCAUGCUCACCCCAAAAUCUUACCAAUACUGUGUAUUGUCUUUUGAAGUAAUCUUUGCCAAAUUAAUAGGCAAAAGUACCAUCUUGAUGAAUUUUUAAAUUAUUCUUCCUUUUUCUUACUAAAAAAUAAGACAUACAUAUUCUAGAAAAUUGGGGGAUGGGGCAUUGAGGAGGAGGAAUUGGGGAAGCACAAAAUAAACCACCACCACCACCACCCCCCCCACCAUGAUGUUGAAUGCUCAGAGAUAACUGUUAACCUUUGGGUCAUUUUUCUUUGCAUAUACAUAUUAUAUAUUAUUAAGAAUGGAGUUAUACUGUACAUACCACUUUGUAACCUCUUUCAUUUAUUAUAUAUCAUGAUAAUUUUUUCCAUGUCAUUAAAGAAUCUUUCACAGCAUUUUUAAGGACUUUCUCAUUCCACUAUACAGAUGCAAAAUUAUUUAGUGCCCAAUUAUUGAGCAUUUAGAUAUUUUUCAGUUUGAGGCUAUUUAAGCAAUGAUAUGUUUGUAGUUAGAUCUUUUCAUACACUUAUGAUUUUUUUUCAUUAAAAUAAAUACCUAGGCAUGAAAUAGGUAUGUUUGAAUUUUAAGACCAGUUGGAUUGUAUUGUUUUCUACCCCAACAGCAGAGCAUUAAACUACUUCCUUUUCCGUGUCUCUUUAGCAACCCUGGGCAUGAAAAUAUUUUUUAAUCUUUGUCAAUUUGAUAUACAAAGAAAUAGAUUCUUAUUUUAGUUUACAUUUCUAUAUUAGCAAUAUAAAGUCUUUCGUAUCUCUUCAUAAGGCCAUUUGUAUUCUGUGUAUUAACUGUUCAUGUUCUCUGUGCAAUAUCUGUUAAAUAAGUGGUAAAUAUUUU